RNAcentral lists this ribosomal RNA (429 nucleotides) under Chloroflexota bacterium. RNAcentral describes it as "Chloroflexi bacterium partial 16S ribosomal RNA". It matches the Rfam family "Bacterial small subunit ribosomal RNA", at positions 355 to 776 of the family's 1533-position model. The record is from RNAcentral. Lineage: Bacteria; Bacillati; Chloroflexota.
UGGGGAAUAUUGCACAAUGGGCGCAAGCCUGAUGCAGCCAUGCCGCGUGUAUGAAGAAGGCCUUCGGGUUGUAAAGUACUUUCAGCGGGGAGGAAGGGAGUAAAGUUAAUACCUUUGCUCAUUGACGUUACCCGCAGAAGAAGCACCGGCUAACUCCGUGCCAGCAGCCGCGGUAAUACGGAGGGUGCAAGCGUUAAUAGGAAUUACUGGGCGUAAAGCGCACGCAGGCGGGUUGUUAAGUCAGAUGUGAAAUCCCCGGGCUCAACCUGGGAACUGCAUCUGAAAAUGGCAAGCUUGAGUCACGUAGAGGGGGGUAGAAUUCCAGGUGUAGCGGUGAAAUGCGUAGAGAUCUGGAGGAAUACCGGUGGCGAAGGCGGCCCCCUGGACGAAGACUGACGCUCAGGUGCGAAAGCGUGGGGAGCAAACAGG